CAGUAGCCGCGGUAAUACGAAGGGUGCAAGCGUUAAUCGGAAUUACUGGGCGUAAAGCGUGCGUAGGCGGUGAGUUAAGUCUGCUGUGAAAUCCCCCGGCUCAACCUGGGAAUGGCAGUGGAUACUGGCUCGCUAGAGUGUGUCAGAGGAUGGUGGAAUUCCCGGUGUAGCGGUGAAAUGCGUAGAGAUCGGGAGGAACAUCAGUGGCGAAGGCGGCCAUCUGGGACAACACUGACACUGAGGCACGAAAGCGUGGGGAGCAAACAGGAUUAGAUACCCCUGUAGUCCCUGUCUCUUAUAC
RNAcentral lists this ribosomal RNA (301 nucleotides) under uncultured bacterium. RNAcentral describes it as "partial 16S ribosomal RNA". It matches the Rfam family "Bacterial small subunit ribosomal RNA", at positions 509 to 807 of the family's 1533-position model. The record is from RNAcentral.